GGCGGCGACGCGCCCGGCUCCUCUCAGCGGCGGCGGCCCAAAAAGCGGGGUCAGCGCUGGCGGCGGCGGCGCUGUUCCCCGCGCGGUCCGCGGAGCGGGGUCCGGGCUGCGCGACGUGGGGCGGCGGCGGCACUGCGGCCCUGGCCCGAGCCCGACCCCGGGUCCCCUCCUCGGCCGCCCCCCGUCCGGCCGCCCGCCCUCGGGCCGCCCCCCGGGCCCUCGGUCCCCUCCCCCGCUGGCGGGGCCCGGACAGAAGAUGGUGCAGAAGAAACCAGCCGAACUUCAGGGUUUCCACCGUUCGUUCAAGGGGCAGAACCCCUUCGAGCUGGCCUUCUCUCUAGACCAGCCUCACCACGGAGACUCUGACUUUGGCCUGCAGUGCUCAGCCCGCCCUGACAUGCCCACCAGCCAGCCCAUCGACAUCCCGGACGCCAAGAAGAGGAGCAAGAAGAAAAAGCGCGGCCGGGCCACUGACAGCUUCUCAGGCAGGUUUGAAGACGUCUACCAGCUGCAGGAGGAUGUGCUGGGGGAGGGCGCUCACGCCAGAGUGCAGACCUGCAUCAACCUGAUCACCAGCCCGGAGUACGCCGUCAAGAUCAUUGAGAAGCAGCCGGGCCACAUUCGGAGCAGGGUUUUCCGGGAGGUGGAGAUGCUCUACCAAUGCCAGGGACACAGGAACGUUCUAGAGCUGAUUGAGUUCUUUGAGGAGGAGGACCGCUUCUACCUGGUGUUUGAGAAGAUGCGGGGAGGCUCCAUCCUGAGCCACAUCCACAAGCGCCGGCACUUCAACGAGCUGGAGGCCAGCGUGGUGGUGCAGGACGUGGCCAGUGCCUUGGACUUUCUGCACAACAAAGGCAUCGCGCACAGGGACCUAAAGCCGGAAAACAUCCUGUGUGAGCACCCCAAUCAGGUCUCCCCCGUGAAGAUCUGUGAUUUCGACCUGGGCAGCGGCAUCAAACUCAACGGGGACUGCUCCCCUAUCUCCACCCCGGAGCUGCUCACCCCGUGCGGCUCGGCGGAGUACAUGGCCCCGGAGGUGGUGGAGGCCUUCAGCGAGGAGGCCAGCAUCUACGACAAGCGCUGCGACCUGUGGAGCCUGGGCGUCAUCUUGUACAUCUUGCUCAGCGGCUACCCGCCCUUCGUGGGUCGCUGUGGCAGCGACUGCGGCUGGGACCGCGGCGAGGCCUGCCCUGCCUGCCAGCUCCAGUUGGGUAGAGCCGACUCUACGGGUCCGGCUCCCAGCCCCCUCCACCCCAGAACAUGCUGUUUGAGAGCAUCCAGGAGGGCAAGUAUGAGUUCCCUGACAAGGACUGGGCCCACAUCUCCUGCGCUGCCAAAGACCUCAUCUCCAAGCUCCUCGUUCGCGACGCCAAGCAGAGACUGAGCGCCGCCCAGGUCCUGCAGCACCCCUGGGUUCAGGGGUGCGCCCCGGAGAACACCUUGCCCACUCCGAUGGUCCUGCAGAGGAACAGCUGUGCCAAAGACCUCACGUCCUUCGCGGCCGAGGCCAUCGCCAUGAACCGGCAGCUGGCCCAGCACGACGAGGACCUGGCUGAGGAGGAGGCGGCGGGGCAGGGCCAGCCCGUCCUGGUCCGAGCUACCUCACGCUGCCUGCAGCUGUCUCCACCCUCCCAGUCCAAGCUGGCGCAGCGGCGGCAAAGGGCCAGCCUGUCCUCGGCCCCUGUGGUCCUGGUGGGAGACCGUGCCUGACCCUCCCGUCUCCCCUUUGUACAUAGGUCGCCCAUCCCCCAAUCAAAUCUAAAGGUUUUUUAAGCUAUCGCCAGCCAGUGUCCUGCGGGCUGCCCCUCCUCUGGCUGGAUUCCCAGGCACUAAGCUCAGCUGAGGGGGGGGGCGUUUUAUAGAAGGUUUUUGCUUUUGGGUUUUUCUUUCCUGUUUCCACCCCUCCCCCUCAUUUUUUCCUUCGGACGGUUAAAAGCAAUGCAGACACCCGGGGAGGUGAGCAGAGGGUACGUGGCUGGGCUUGUCCCCUCCCCGGCCCCCAGCCCUGCUCACCUGUACUGUGAAGCCCCCAGGUCACCUGUACUGCCCGCCAUCUGCCCACGUGGCUUGCAGUGACUCAGGAGAGCAGACCCACAUCGUUCGCCAUCUUCCAGAGCUGGGGAGGGGCACAGGGCCCUGCCCGUGUUACCUCCCAGCCGCAGUAUUUCAGGGACAGGCUCGUCCCUCUGCCCCUCACCCUGACAGCACCCCUGGUGGCUUGGUUGGGGAGGGGAGGACCUGCCUGUCUCCAGAGGGGCCAGGCAGGCAGGUGGAGGGCAGCCCAGCCACCCACCCCAUGGGAUCCCCCAGCCCUUCACCCACGCCUGCCUUGUCCCCAUGAUAGUUGACAAUCGGGGCUUCCUGCAAGGCCUGUCUGUCCAGGACUCCUGGUGGCCAGAUUCGGCCUCCAACCUUGACCUUAAACUGCAGCUGACCCCAGGGGCUCGCCGCUGCCCCUCUCCACCGCUCCAGGGCCUGAGACAGCAGGACCCCCGCCCGGCCUGAAGCUGUUUCCACUGCAGCAGGCAGAGGGACUGGACGGGCACUGUCAGCCAAUGUGGGGGGUCCUGAAGACACCCCCUUGGGGCAUGCAAGUGCCCCUUCUCAGGGCUCAGUCUGACCGUGGCCACGUCCUGCCUCGUGCCGCCCCUCGGGCCUGACCUGGAAGCUCUGUCAGCUCCGUCCUUGUCCUUAGAGCAGGGCCCAGACCCCAGGGUCUGGCCGAAUCCCCACCCCCAGGGCAGCGUUUUUGGUCUGCCACCUUCAGGAAAAUGGCCGGGGCCUUGGCCUCCCUUCGGGCACCCAGGAAUGGAGGGGCUUGCUCAGUCCCCCCACCCUCCACGCUCCAACCCCUGGGGGCUGCGGAGCCUGCUGCCCCUGCCUGCGGGGGGGGACGUUCUAUGCAAUACAGGGUUCCACUUUAGAAGUGUGCGGGGCUGUGCUGCGGGGGCAGCUAGGGUCACCACCCGCCCUUCCCAGCCCAGUCCCCAAACUCCACGCCUGGGGCAGCCCCCUCUGGCUUCUAAAUCCGUGGUCGGGAUUCCUUGUGUUUAGUUUUUUAGUUGUUUUUUUUUAAGGAAAAAAAAAACAUCGGUUGACUUUGCUUCCCUGUUCUUGAAGAAUACUUGAAUGUCGGGGGGUCUGGGGGUGGGGGCCUCGGAGACUGUCUGCCUGGCCCUGCUGCCCCUCCCGAAUCUCGUACGAUGGUCACAGUCCGGUGGCCGUGGGGGUGCUCUGCCCUCCCUGGUCCCCACUGCCCAUAUCUGUGGACUGCCCCUUCCAAAGACCCCUGGGGGGUGGGGCAGGCCGCCCACCCCCCUUCCCCUUCAUGUCUCGCCCGUCAGUGAUUCUAUGUUUUGUAACGGGGGAUUCUCUGCCUUUUUGUAUAAAAGAACAAACAAACAGACCCCCGCCCGCUGCAGGCGCCCACAGCCAUUGCGUCUGAGCUGCUAGCAGCUUUUUUUUCCCCCCCCCCCCCCGAAGGUGGGACAGUCGCUUCCUCCUCCCUCCCCACGCCUGUCGCAUCCAUGUGCGACCUGGAGGACUGGUCAGAACCAUUACUGUGAACGAGUGAAGAUCCUGGAGAACCCUGGGCCCCAGGCCAGCUCCCAGCGCUGGGGGACGGUGAACCGCCAUGUGUUAAUGUUACGAUGUUUUUAAAAGACAAAAAAAAAAAAAAAAAAAAAACCUCAAAAGUUUUUUUUAAGUGGGGGAAAAACAUCCAAGCACUUUAAUUCCAUUGUACCAGGUGAACUGACGGAGCUCAGCAGUUUUCCUUUACACCAACUGUCAAUGCCGGAAUUUUGUAUUCUGUUUUGUAAAGAUUUAAUAAAAGUCAAAAAACCUGC
Piliocolobus tephrosceles (Ugandan red Colobus) is the source of this 3848-nucleotide RNA transcript. It is a transcript of the gene named MAPK interacting serine/threonine kinase 2, with no coding region annotated. The transcript has 15 exons. The record is from RefSeq and is a predicted model, not a curated record. NCBI's taxonomy places the organism in Eukaryota, Metazoa, Chordata, Mammalia, Primates, Cercopithecidae.